This 301-nucleotide ribosomal RNA is filed under the name uncultured bacterium. RNAcentral describes it as "partial 16S ribosomal RNA". It matches the Rfam family "Bacterial small subunit ribosomal RNA", at positions 509 to 809 of the family's 1533-position model. The record is from RNAcentral.
CAGUCGCCGCGGGAAUACGAAGGGGGCUAGCGUUGUUCGGAAUUACUGGGCGUAAAGCGCACGCAGGCGGUCUGUCAAGUCAGAUGUGAAAUCCCCGGGCUUAACCUGGGAACUGCAUUUGAAACUGGCAGGCUAGAGUCUUGUAGAGGGGGGUAGAAUUCCAGGUGUAGCGGUGAAACGCGUAGAGAUCUGGAGGAAUACCGGUGGCGAAGGCAGCCCCCUGGGCCAAUACUGACGCUCAUGCACGAAAGCGUGGGGAGCAAGCAGGAUUAGAGACCCCUGUAGUCCCUGUCUCUUAUAA